This 465-nucleotide ribosomal RNA is filed under the name uncultured bacterium. Its description in RNAcentral is "bacterial SSU rRNA". It matches the Rfam family "Bacterial small subunit ribosomal RNA", at positions 338 to 795 of the family's 1533-position model. The record is from RNAcentral.
CCUACGGGAGGCUGCAGUGGGGAAUUUUGGACAAUGGGCGAAAGCCUGAUCCAGCCAUGCCGCGUGCAGGAUGAAGGCCUUCGGGUUGUAAACUGCUUUUGUACGGAACGAAAAGACUCCUUCUAAUAAAGGGGGUCCAUGACGGUACCGUAAGAAUAAGCACCGGCUAACUACGUGCCAGCAGCCGCGGUAAUACGUAGGGUGCAAGCGUUAAUCGGAAUUACUGGGCGUAAAGCGUGCGCAGGCGGUUAUAUAAGACAGAUGUGAAAUCCCCGGGCUCAACCUGGGAACUGCAUUUGUGACUGUAUAGCUAGAGUACGGCAGAGGGGGAUGGAAUUCCAAGUGGAGCGGUGAAAUGCGUAGAGAUUUGGAGGAACACCAGUGGCGAAGGCGGUUUACUGGGCCACAUCUGACGCUGAUGUACGAAAGCGUGGGGAGCAAACAGGAUUAGAUACCCUUGUAGUC